RNAcentral lists this non-coding RNA (30 nucleotides) under Mus musculus (house mouse). The record is from RNAcentral. Lineage: Eukaryota; Metazoa; Chordata; Mammalia; Rodentia; Muridae.
UACAAGUACUGUUUGCAGUCGGUGUCUCUG